This 497-nucleotide ribosomal RNA is filed under the name uncultured bacterium. RNAcentral's name for it is "partial 16S ribosomal RNA". It matches the Rfam family "Bacterial small subunit ribosomal RNA", at positions 28 to 507 of the family's 1533-position model. The record is from RNAcentral.
GAUGAACGCUGGCGGCGUGCCUAAUACAUGCAAGUCGAGCGAACAGACGAGGAGCUUGCUCCUCUGACGUUAGCGGCGGACGGGUGAGUAACACGUGGAUAACCUACCUAUAAGACUGGGAUAACUUCGGGAAACCGGAGCUAAUACCGGAUACUAUAUUGAACCGCAUGGUUCAAUAGUGAAAGACGGGUUUGCUGUCACUUAUAGAUGGAUCCGCGCCGCAUUAGCUAGUUGGUAAGGUAACGGCUUACCAAGGCGACGAUGCGUAGCCGACCUGAGAGGGUGAUCGGCCACACUGGAACUGAGACACGGUCCAGACUCCUACGGGAGGCAGCAGUAGGGAAUCUUGCGCAAUGGGCGAAAGCCUGACGGAGCAACGCCGCGUGAGUGAUGAAGGUCUUCGGAUCGUAAAACUCUGUUAUUAGGGAAGAAGAAAUGUGUAAGUAAAUAUGCACGUCUUGACGGUACCUAAUCAGAAAGCCACGGCUAACUACGUG